This 427-nucleotide ribosomal RNA is filed under the name uncultured Vibrio sp. Its description in RNAcentral is "bacterial SSU rRNA". It matches the Rfam family "Bacterial small subunit ribosomal RNA", at positions 353 to 772 of the family's 1533-position model. The record is from RNAcentral. Lineage: Bacteria; Pseudomonadati; Pseudomonadota; Gammaproteobacteria; Vibrionales; Vibrionaceae.
AGUGGGGAAUAUUGCACAAUGGGCGAAAGCCUGAUGCAGCCAUGCCGCGUGUAUGAAGAAGGCCUUCGGGUUGUAAAGUACUUUCAGCAGUGAGGAAGGGUAUGUAGUUAAUAACUGCAUAUCUUGACGUUAGCUGCAGAAGAAGCACCGGCUAACUCCGUGCCAGCAGCCGCGGUAAUACGGAGGGUGCGAGCGUUAAUCGGAAUUACUGGGCGUAAAGCGCAUGCAGGUGGUUUGUUAAGUCAGAUGUGAAAGCCCGGGGCUCAACCUCGGAAUUGCAUUUGAAACUGGCAGGCUAGAGUACUGUAGAGGGGGGUAGAAUUUCAGGUGUAGCGGUGAAAUGCGUAGAGAUCUGAAGGAAUACCAGUGGCGAAGGCGGCCCCCUGGACAGAUACUGACACUCAGAUGCGAAAGCGUGGGGAGCAAA